This 264-nucleotide long non-coding RNA is filed under the name Elaeis guineensis (African oil palm). Its description in RNAcentral is "long non-coding RNA (EGUI_LNC032260)". Lineage: Eukaryota; Viridiplantae; Streptophyta; Magnoliopsida; Arecales; Arecaceae. The record is from RNAcentral.
CACAGCCAGCUGAUCUGAUGGUUUGUAGUUGGUGGGACCUUGCCACGUCAUCUUGGAUAUGCCCCAGUGAAGGAUUGGACUCAAUCGAUUGACUAGUUACCUAUUAGCGGACUCGGUCGGCUAACUAUCAUGGGUGCAUCUGCAUUUUUCUAAUUACCUAUUAUUCUAAUUAUAACAAUAAUAUGAAGAUGAUGUCAUUAACAUGCUUUCUUGUUUAUUUUUAAGAAGAUUAAAUUAUAAAAUAAAAUUGAAACAAGUUCGGGG